UAGGGAAUCUUCCGCAAUGGACGCAAGUCUGACGGAGCAACGCCGCGUGAGUGAAGAAGGAUUUCGGUUCGUAAAACUCUGUUGUUAGAGAAGAACAGCGCAUAGAGUAACUGUUAUGCGUGUGACGGUAUCUAACCAGAAAGCCACGGCUAACUACGUGCCAGCAGCCGCGGUAAUACGUAGGUGGCAAGCGUUGUCCGGAUUUAUUGGGCGUAAAGCGAGCGCAGGCAGUCAAUUAAGUCUGAUGUGAAAGCCCCCGGCUCAACCGGGGAGGGUCAUUGGAAACUGGUUGACUUGAGUGCAGAAGAGGAGAGUGGAAUUCCAUGUGUAGCGGUGAAAUGCGUAGAUAUAUGGAGGAACACCAGUGGCGAAGGCGACUCUCUGGUCUGUAACUGACGCUGAGGCUCGAAAGCGUGGGUAGCAAACAGG
RNAcentral lists this ribosomal RNA (429 nucleotides) under Bacteroidota bacterium. Its description in RNAcentral is "Bacteroidetes bacterium partial 16S ribosomal RNA". It matches the Rfam family "Bacterial small subunit ribosomal RNA", at positions 355 to 776 of the family's 1533-position model. Lineage: Bacteria; Pseudomonadati; Bacteroidota. The record is from RNAcentral.